UACGUAGGGUGCAAGCGUUGUCCGGAAUUAUUGGGCGUAAAGAGCUUGUAGGCGGUUUGUCGCGUCUGCUGUGAAAUUUCGGGGCUCAACCCCGAACUUGCAGUGGGUACGGGCAGACUAGAGUGUGGUAGGGGAGACUGGAAUUCCUGGUGUAGCGGUGAAAUGCGCAGAUCUCAGGAGGAACACCAGUGGCGAAGGCGGUGCUCUGGGCCGGAACUGACGCUGAGGAGCGAAAGCGUGGGGAGCAAACAGG
Molecule: ribosomal RNA, 253 nt
Filed under: uncultured bacterium
Lineage: Bacteria
Description: partial 16S ribosomal RNA
Rfam family: Bacterial small subunit ribosomal RNA
Source: RNAcentral